CUCCUGUCGUAGGCAAACCAUCAUAAACAGCAGUAGGUGUUUUAUGUACAGAUCUGUUUUUAAGAGGAAAAACCACGUGGUGGACUGAAAAUGGAAUUGAUGAGCUGGGAGGAAACAGUUGCUUUGGAGAAAUGCCACGUUCCAGAUAUGGGGCUCAGUGAGCUGAUUGUGGAGAGGCUGGAGGAUGAAGACUGACUCCCCACCCCCAUGAAAUGAUCAGGGCUGAAGUGGAAAAAUGAAGUACUGUAACUGAAUCUUGAAAAUGGUCUGUAAUGAAACAUCCUGGACCUGAGCCCCAAGGACAGUAGGGUGCAAGAACUCUGAAGACAAGAUUGGCUGGUUUCGCUUCUCCCUCACCCUGGAUCCCUUAUAGGAAUCACAGAUGGAUGAUUUGAGAUGAGCCUUAAAGGAAAGGAAAAUGUAUCUUUCUCUCCACCAGCAUCAACUGUAAGAGAGAAUUUGGGGCCUGAAGAUUAAAAGAUUUGCCCUGUCUCCAAUCUGCAUUACAAGGACUCUUUGAAGUUAUGUCCAGGAAAGGCUAUACUAAAAACAGGAUAAAUAAUAAAACUAGAUUGAAUGGA
This is a long non-coding RNA of Terrapene triunguis (Three-toed box turtle), 581 nucleotides long. RefSeq lists it as uncharacterized. The transcript has 5 exons. The record is from RefSeq and is a predicted model, not a curated record. NCBI's taxonomy places the organism in Eukaryota, Metazoa, Chordata, Testudines, Emydidae.